This 496-nucleotide ribosomal RNA is filed under the name uncultured bacterium. Its description in RNAcentral is "partial 16S ribosomal RNA". It matches the Rfam family "Bacterial small subunit ribosomal RNA", at positions 29 to 507 of the family's 1533-position model. The record is from RNAcentral.
AUGAACGCUGGCGGCGUGCCUAAUACAUGCAAGUCGAGCGAACGGACGAGAAGCUUGCUUUUCUGAUGUUAGCGGCGGACGGGUGAGUAACACGUGGAUAACCUACCUAUAAGACUGGGAUAACUUCGGGAAACCGGAGCUAAUACCGGAUAAUAUUUUGAACCGCAUGGUUCAAAAGUGAAAGACGGUCUUGCUGUCACUUAUAGAUGGAUCCGCGCUGCAUUAGCUAGUUGGUAAGGUAACGGCUUACCAAGGCAACGAUGCAUAGCCGACCUGAGAGGGUGAUCGGCCACACUGGAACUGAGACACGGUCCAGACUCCUACGGGAGGCAGCAGUAGGGAAUCUUCCGCAAUGGGCGAAAGCCUGACGGAGCAACGCCGCGUGAGUGAUGAAGGUCUUCGGAUCGUAAAACUCUGUUAUUAGGGAAGAACAUAUGUGUAAGUAACUGUGCACAUCUUGACGGUACCUAAUCAGAAAGCCACGGCUAACUACGCG